GUCUGUAACAAUUUUAAAAUAAAAGCCAGCAUAUUGGUGGGAAAAAAAACAAAAAUCCAACAACAACAAAAAUAAAACACAACAAGGCAUAUACUUCCAAUAUUUCCACUGUAUAAACCCAAUCCAUGGAUUAUGCAAAAGAGAUAAGUCUCUUGGAAAUGACAGUCAUUUGGUGACAAUAACAAAUCAGCAACAGAGGAGACUUUAACGAGUUACUCACUGUUUCCUCCCUCACCAAAGGCAUCUGCUAAGUCAAAGUCUGCCCCUAAAGGAAGGAAUCGGUCUGUUCAUAGUAAAGCUCUGAGAAAUGAGGAAGGAAUGACCUCGGAAACAGAUGGAGAAAUCACCAGAGACCCACAUGACUAAAGACUUUUCUGAAUAUCACACUGACUAGGAUCUCAUUUGAAAAAGUAAAUUCCUGAUCAUUUUCACAUCAUUCUUCCCCCAGAUGAAAAGAGUAAGAGAUGACAGCAAGAGAAAGAGGGAGAGAGAAAGAAUGUCAUUUGUAAAUCAACUGUGCUGCCUGGACCCAGUUGGGACUCUGAAUCUGCCUGCACACAACUCUGUCCCGUUGAUUCCCCAUUAUCUCCUCCCAGGUCCCCAACACCUUCAGCAAGGCAGACCGUAAGAGAAAUAAACAGAAAAAUAGUGGACAUGAAAAUGGAUUCAGAGUAACAAAAACAAGGAAAAAACACUUUAGAAACCCAUUGACAGAAUCAACAAGAGGAAGAGACAAAUCGAAUCUCAAAGAAAAAGCUCAGGCCGGCAUGGUGGCUCACACCUGUAAUCCCAGCACUUUGAGAGGCUGAGAUGGGCGGAUCACCUGAGGUCAGGGGUUCAAGAUCAGCCUGGCUAACAUGGCAAAACCCCGUCUCUACUGAAAAUACAAGAAUUUGCCGGGCAUGGUGGUGCAUGUUUGUAAUCCUAGCUAAUUGGGAGGCUGAGGCACGAGAAUUGCUUGAACCCAGGAAGUGGAGGUUGCACUGAGCCAAGAUCACGCCACUGCACUCCAGCCCGGGCGACAGAGAGAGACUCUGUCUCCAAAAUAAAAAAAGGAAAGAAAAUAAAAGAAAAAACUCAACAUUGAAAACGUGUUACCAUUCCUUCAAUCAACCUAUGGUGAUAAACAAUUCAAAUGAAAUUAAAAAGAAGGUUUUACUUCUCUGAAGAGAAGGGACAAUAGCAAAAUGAUUCUCAAUUUAAAAGGAAAAAAAGUUACAAAAAGCAGGAUAUCCACACAAACAUAAGACACCAUAAAAAAAUAAACAUACCACUUGUAAAACAUUCCUGUUAAAAAUAUUCAAAGGCAAAAAUAAAGUGCAAAACCAUUUUCAUAAAAAAAAAAAAAAAAA
This 1352-nucleotide long non-coding RNA is filed under the name Homo sapiens (human). RNAcentral's name for it is "long independently transcribed non-coding RNA 102 (LINC00102)". The record is from RNAcentral. Lineage: Eukaryota; Metazoa; Chordata; Mammalia; Primates; Hominidae.